UGCAGUCGAGCGGUAGCACAGAGAGCUUGCUCUCGGGUGACGAGCGGCGGACGGGUGAGUAAUGUCUGGGAAACUGCCUGAUGGAGGGGGAUAACUACUGGAAACGGUAGCUAAUACCGCAUAACGUCGCAAGACCAAAGUGGGGGACCUUCGGGCCUCAUGCCAUCAGAUGUGCCCAGAUGGGAUUAGCUAGUAGGUGGGGUAACGGCUCACCUAGGCGACGAUCCCUAGCUGGUCUGAGAGGAUGACCAGCCACACUGGAACUGAGACACGGUCCAGACUCCUACGGGAGGCAGCAGUGGGGAAUAUUGCACAAUGGGCGCAAGCCUGAUGCAGCCAUGCCGCGUGUGUGAAGAAGGCCUUCGGGUUGUAAAGCACUUUCAGCGGGGAGGAAGGCGGUGAGGUUAAUAACCUCAUCGAUUGACGUUACCCGCAGAAGAAGCACCGGCUAACUCCGUGCCAGCAGCCGCGGUAAUACGGAGGGUGCAAGCGUUAAUCGGAAUUACUGGGCGUAAAGCGCACGCAGGCGGUCUGUCAAGUCGGAUGUGAAAUCCCCGGGCUCAACCUGGGAACUGCAUUCGAAACUGGCAGGCUAGAGUCUUGUAGAGGGGGGUAGAAUUCCAGGUGUAGCGGUGAAAUGCGUAGAGAUCUGGAGGAAUACCGGUGGCGAAGGCGGCCCCCUGGACAAAGACUGACGCUCAGGUGCGAAAGCGUGGGGAGCAAACAGGAUUAGAUACCCUGGUAGUCCACGCCGUAAACGAUGUCGAUUUGGAGGUUGUGCCCUUGAGGCGUGGCUUCCGGAGCUAACGCGUUAAAUCGACCGCCUGGGGAGUACGGCCGCAAGGUUAAAACUCAAAUGAAUUGACGGGGGCCCGCACAAGCGGUGGAGCAUGUGGUUUAAUUCGAUGCAACGCGAAGACCUUACCUGGUCUUGACUCCACAGACUUUCCAGAGAUGGAUUGGUGCCUUCGGGAACUGUGAAAACAGGGCUGCAUGGCUGUCGUCAGCCCGUGUUGGAAA
Molecule: ribosomal RNA, 1020 nt
Filed under: Klebsiella pneumoniae
Lineage: Bacteria; Pseudomonadati; Pseudomonadota; Gammaproteobacteria; Enterobacterales; Enterobacteriaceae
Description: bacterial SSU rRNA
Rfam family: Bacterial small subunit ribosomal RNA
Source: RNAcentral